UGUGACCUCAAAUCAGGUAGGACUACCCGCUGAACUUAAGCAUAUCAAUAAGCGGAGGAAAAGAAACUAACAAGGAUUCCCCUAGUAACUGCGAGUGAAGCGGGAAAAGCUCAAAUUUAAAAUCUGGCAGUCUUUGGCUGUCCGAGUUGUAAUCUAGAGAAGUGCUAUCCGCGCUGGACCGUGUACAAGUCUCCUGGAAUGGAGCGUCAUAGAGGGUGAGAAUCCCGUCUUUGACACGGACUGCCAGGGCUUUGUGAUGCGCUCUCAAAGAGUCGGGUUGUUUGGGAAUGCAGCUCAAAAUGGGUGGUAAAUUCCAUCUAAAGCUAAAUAUUGGCGAGAGACCGAUAGCGAACAAGUACCGUGAGGGAAAGAUGAAAAGAACUUUGGAAAGAGAGUUAAACAGUACGUGAAAUUGCUGAAAGGGAAACGCUUGAAGUCAGUCGCGUUGUCCAGGGAUCAACCUUGCUUUUGCUUGGUGCACUUUCUGGUUGACGGGUCAGCAUCAAUUUUGACUAUUGGAAAAAGAUUAGGGGAAUGUGACAUCUUCGGAUGUGUUAUAGCCCUUGGUUGCAUACAAUGGUUGGGAUUGAGGAACUC
Molecule: ribosomal RNA, 597 nt
Filed under: Cortinarius aff. rigens UBC F17190 OC118
Lineage: Eukaryota; Fungi; Basidiomycota; Agaricomycetes; Agaricales; Cortinariaceae
Description: eukaryotic LSU rRNA
Rfam family: Eukaryotic large subunit ribosomal RNA
Source: RNAcentral